This is an RNA transcript of Dreissena polymorpha, 2910 nucleotides long. RefSeq lists it as uncharacterized. NCBI's taxonomy places the organism in Eukaryota, Metazoa, Mollusca, Bivalvia, Myida, Dreissenidae. The record is from RefSeq and is a predicted model, not a curated record. The transcript has 9 exons.
CAGUUAAAACCUGCACUGUACAAUCAAUAGUUUAAUCUAUGUAUAUUAGUAACAUAUCGCAUCAAAUCGAAACUUGAUUGGCUUUGGAACAUUCAGACAGAUGAGAAUAUGAGAUCUGAUAAAGAAAACUCGACUGUCGACCAGCCAGUUAUUGCUGAUCAAUAGACUAGUGAAAGGGCGACCGACUGGCUACACAAUGGUCCAAUUUUAUUGAAGGGGCGUUGAUAUUUUGGAUUAAUUGUUUAGUCUUGUAAAGUUGCUCGGACAUUAAAAACUUGGUAUCAGUUGUUUGCGGACAGUCAAAGAGACGGAAGGAAAACCAACGGCUUUGAAAGACCGACAAAUGGAAAAUAAAAGCUGGAUGGCCAUGUCAAGUUUGAUUCUAAAGAUAUAUAUUGGUAGUGAAAAUAAAUGACUAUAACUCAAAUUCGGGCCGACAACGGCACUCGCCUCGCCAAAAUUAUCAUGGGGCUCGUCCUAUUAUUUCCAUAAGUAUAAGCAUGAUGGUAUGCAUCUGAUGAGGAUAAGAUAGAUAAAAUGGAUAAGGAACUUGACGAUGAGGAGACCCGGAAUUGGGUAAAGGUCUGUCUUGCUCUACGCUGUCUGACAAAGAGCCUUGUUUCAUAUAUAAAAAAGAAAAGUGUAGAUCAGUACUCUAAUAACGUAACAUUUUUGACAAAAUGUGUUCGUGUACCUGAAUAUACUUGUUCGAGCUGUAAUCUGAAAACAUUGGAGCCGUAUCACUCUCAGAGAACGCCUUGUAAAUAUUUACAUGUAAAGUAUAAAUGUGCAUGUAGUGCUUCAGGAAAACAACAAUGUCCAGAAAAAACGUGUGGAAAGAUAUAUGAUCUUAUUAAGGAUGAGCAUGUCGAAAACAACCCGAACUGGUUGAACUCAAAAUCGGAACUGUGGUCUGACAAGCAAUCCGGGCCUUGGGAAAGGAUGAAGUGCUUUAUUGAUACACAAGGAUACAACGACAAAUCAGAUAUAUUCCUGGCAGAUAUCUCGGCAUUAGUACAAAUUUGCACAAACAAUGGUAAUUUGGUGCGGGAAAUUGGAUCUACUAAUCUAAGCUAUCUACAGAAGUUAGAAACAAACGAGCAGCGAAUAACUGUAGAAGACGAAAUAGGAGCCAGAGAAGAAACGCUUGUUUCAGUCAAAGAACUUAUAAUCUCAUUAGAGAAACAGCUUGAACAAAUUCAGUCGCUUAAUGAUGCACACUCAAAAUCGAAUACUGAAAAUAUAAAAGAGGAAAUAGCGCAGUUAACUAUGAUUGAAAAGCAGCAUUUUCGACAAAUAAAUGAACGUUCAAAUAGAAAGACAUUUGGAAUUAUUGCAAAACGAAUACUUGAAGACAAAAGAGAUGUUAAGUAAACACAAAAUGAAAUUAGGGAGCAUAGAUUGCACUUUACGGAUGCACACGAAGGAAUUAUGCAAUAUUUCACAGAAAGUGACGAAUGUGGAAAAGGAUAUGAAACCAAUUCUUGAAAAAACUGCACGGAGCAUGGAAGUUGUUGAAAGAUUGGAACAGAAAUUCGACGAAUUUGGAAGACAGUUGAAGCGUUUUGAUGCUCCAGAUGGUGUUCAAAUAAAAUAUGUCAAAAGUGAGUGCAUGGCGAUAUAUUGUGAAUAUCCAAAUAUGAAGAGUUGGUUAGCAUUUCUACGCAAAUAUUUGAAUAGAGAAUUCGACCAAAUAUUUUUACCGGUUCAAAAUCACUUGAGGGCCUACAUUGGAUACGAAGAUCUGGAGUUGAAUGUGGCGAUCUAUGAUGAAGACUUCGCAAUAUCUGUCCAGUCGAUAUUCUAUCAGCUGGACACACAAUUGACGGAUGCUGUCCUCAUUGCAGCGCCACUGCCAUUAGAUGAAACUCCAUUAGACAGUAAGAAGAACGCAUGCACUAUAAUAUUGAAGUUUUUGUCUAAUAUAUGCUGAUUCUAGAUUUAUCUGGAAGUAACCUAAUUGAUUUAUUUACGCACAUUCGUAGACAACAUAUUUUGCACAGAUUUAAGGCAAAUUAAUAUAAAAACAAAUUGUAUAAUUGUAUUUGUUCAGCAUUUCGUUUUUAUUUUAUCAGGUGCCAAAGUAUAAAGGAAAAUACAUGUUUAUUUUUUUCAAAACACUUUAAAGAUACCCAAGUAACAGCUUUUUUAUAAACAGAUAACGAUUCCGUAUUUCUAAGAAGACAAUUAUAUGAGAGACGAACAGAUAUAGCAUUAAUAUGUGUGUUUUACUAUGUGUGUUAAAGUCAAAUGGUACUAAAAGUGUAUUACAUUAUCUUUAGAAAAACAACCUUCUGAGUAUUUUUACAUUUAGAUUCGUUUUCACAACAUUCAAAUAUAUGAAAUUAUAUGAGAAUAUGUGGCGUGUAAAUUAAUAUAACACAGCGAGUGAUUUACGUGUAUUAUAGGUCAAAACCACUAUUUGUUACUGUUUAUGUAGGUUAAAAAACACUACAUUUUAACUGUUUUAGUCCAUUUUUCAGGUUUUAGUUCCUCAAAUUUUUACUCAAAUGAAAUAAUUUUCAAAAUAGAAGUCUAACUAUUGAAUUAAAAACACACAAAGGGGUUUCCUGAUUUAAUUGAAACAUGAACAUUUUUUAAUGACGACUUUUAGUGAGAUUUCAGGAACAAUUUACGAAAUCAAACACAAAACUGCUGAUUUCUGGAAUAAUUUGAUAAAUUAGAUUUAUAACACAUGUGAUCACAAUAAUUAUAACAACUGUUUUCAUCAUUAUCGUGAUCACAUGUGUCAUUAAUCUAACUAUAUCAAAUUAUUCCAGAAAUAAUUCUUCAAUUAAAACAGGAGACCCUUUUGUGUGUUUUUAAUACAAUAGUUAGACUACUAUUUUGAAAAUUAUUUCAGUUGAGUAAAAAUUCGAGGAACUAUAUAUGCGAACAAUAUUUGAUUAU